This 545-nucleotide ribosomal RNA is filed under the name uncultured bacterium. RNAcentral's name for it is "partial 16S ribosomal RNA". It matches the Rfam family "Bacterial small subunit ribosomal RNA", at positions 355 to 889 of the family's 1533-position model. The record is from RNAcentral.
UGGGGAAUUUUGGACAAUGGGCGAAAGCCUGAUCCAGCAAUGCCGCGUGUGUGAAGAAGGCCUUCGGGUUGUAAAGCACUUUUGUCCGGAAAGAAAUCCUUGGCUCUAAUACAGUCGGGGGAUGACGGUACCGGAAGAAUAAGCACCGGCUAACUACGUGCCAGCAGCCGCGGUAAUACGUAGGGUGCAAGCGUUAAUCGGAAUUACUGGGCGUAAAGCGUGCGCAGGCGGUUUGCUAAGACCGAUGUGAAAUCCCCGGGCUCAACCUGGGAACUGCAUUGGUGACUGGCAGGCUAGAGUAUGGCAGAGGGGGGUAGAAUUCCACGUGUAGCAGUGAAAUGCGUAGAGAUGUGGAGGAAUACCGAUGGCGAAAGGCAGCCCCCUGGGCCAAAUACUGACGCUCAUGCACGAAAAGCGUGGGGAGCAAAACAGGAUUAGAUACCCUGGUAGUCCACGCCCUAAAACGAUGUCAACUAGUUGUUGGGGAUUCAUUUCCUAGUAACGUAGCUAACGCGUGAAGUUGACCGCCUGGGGAGUACGGUCGC